Molecule: long non-coding RNA, 279 nt
Filed under: Elaeis guineensis (African oil palm)
Lineage: Eukaryota; Viridiplantae; Streptophyta; Magnoliopsida; Arecales; Arecaceae
Description: long non-coding RNA (EGUI_LNC020664)
Source: RNAcentral
UGCAUAGAUCCUUAUAUAGUCCCUCCACUUAAGUCUUAGCAUUCUCAUCAGACUAAGAAUCCAAAUUCAUGCAAUCAUUCAUAAACACCACGAUCGGCUCAUGGUAAGUACCAAUAAAUCCAUGCUGUAGUAUCUUUUAGUCCACAUGGGUUGAGUCAGCUCUGAUACCACUAUCAUAAAAUAUCAUGCCCCAAAUCCAGAGCAUAUAUAGCACAAUGAUGAUACCAAUGUGAAACCAACAAUCAUGAUCUUAAAUAAAAUAAAAGAUCUAUCACUCAU